GACGAACGCUGGCGGCGUGCUUAACACAUGCAAGUCGAACGGAAAGGCCCUGCUUUUGUGGGGUGCUCGAGUGUCGAACGGGUGAGUAACACGUGAGUAACCUGCCCUUGACUUUGGGAUAACUUCAGGAAACUGGGGCUAAUACCGGAUAGGAGCUCCUGCUGCAUGGUGGGGGUUGGAAAGUUUCGGCGGUUGGGGAUGGACUCGCGGCUUAUCAGCUUGUUGGUGGGGUAGUGGCUUACCAAGGCUUUGACGGGUAGCCGGCCUGAGAGGGUGACCGGCCACAUUGGGACUGAGAUACGGCCCAGACUCAUACGGGAGGCAGCAGUGGGGAAUAUUGAACAAUGGGCGGAAGCCUGAUGCAGCAACGCCGCGUGCGGGAUGACGGCCUUCGGGUUGUAAACCGCUUUCGCCUGUGACGAAGCGUGAGUGACGGUAAUGGGUAAAGAAGCACCGGCUAACUACGUG
Molecule: ribosomal RNA, 468 nt
Filed under: uncultured bacterium
Lineage: Bacteria
Description: partial 16S ribosomal RNA
Rfam family: Bacterial small subunit ribosomal RNA
Source: RNAcentral